CAUCGCUCAUAUCGGACAAACCCUUCUUCUUCCUCCACUUCGUUUCCUCCGUUUCACGAUUUUUUCACCUGCUUACAAUCAAUUUCAUCCCCACUCCUGUACAAGUUUAAUCUCAUUAAUGGAUUCUUUUCGAUUUCUCCAUCUGAGAUUCUAUAUAAGUCUCCUACUUUGUUUAUUUUUUUUCAUCAAGCUUUGUGAAAUCCUCUCGACUGUGCAAUUGCGAUGACGAUUUCCUGUCUUUCCGACUCACUGAAGACGAACAGCGAAGCGGCGGUCCCCUCGAGUCCGGUUAAACCCGUCGCACAAACCAGUGUCCCUUCCGGCUUGAAGAACAAUAGCGACUUCCAAGAUACCAUUUUCCGAAUUGAAGCCGGAGCCUCUCAGUCGAAUCGUUGUCUCACGCAUCUCCGUUUUGGGAAGCUACCAAUGUGAAGUAUAUGUGAUCGCUGCCGAUCCUCAGGUGACUGUCUCAUCUAUAUAAAUUGAAACCCCAAGUAAAUACCGCAGUUAACUAUGCGUGUUUUUUUUAUGUUUCACAGAUAAUUGAGUUUUUAUGCACUGCCAAAUUGAAUGAAACUCAUGCCGAUAAAGGUUGGUGUUAUGGCUGCUCCACGUGUUCAAAGAAACUGGUGCGGGAAAUAUCUUCAUUCACAUGUCUCUUUUGUGAUAAGACUGAUGCUGUGGGUGUACUGAGGUCCCGUGUGGAACUCUCUGUGUCUGACCAGACUGGUUCAGUUUUCUUAGUGGCUUUUGAUGAGGAGAUGGCCACAAUUACCAACAUUGAAGCUUUUGAAGCUGCGUAUAUUGUGAUAUACUCUGAUAAUAAAGUCUUACUAUUGACCUUAGCUAUUUUUAAAGAACCACAAUUUCUAAAUAUAUAUUUUUCGGAAUUGCAGAGGGUAGAGGUCAAUGCUAAGGUUGAUAGGGACCCUCCAUCAGUUCAUUACUGAGAUUUGUAGCACCUACACAUUCCAGCUCAAGCUAACCUCUUUCAAUUUCACUUCAAAGCACCAAACCUUCACCAUUUCCCCUAUAUUUACUGUGCUGGAUCGUCCACCUGUGUCAGCCUUUGUUAUAGAAGGAGGUUCAGAUGUCCCUCAAGCCAAGCUGCCUGGAGUGGACACAAAAGGAUCAGCUGUUAUACCAAGUGAUGAUUGCGGUGUUUCAGUAUCAACCACGCAGCAACUUGAUCCAGAAGAAAAUGGACCGAAGAAGGCACAUUUGGAAUAGGUACUCUUGAUUGCUGCACCACCUCAAAAUGAACUUAUGAAACUUUUGGCUUUAGCAUAUUCUCAAUUACUGUUUUCCCUUUUCCCAUGGUUUAUCCCAUGGUGAUUUCAAGUACAAGAAAUACCAAGUUUAUUAAGAAGCUUUCCCCUCAUGAGUAUUAUCGUUGUGCAUUGAUCCCGUGAUUCCCACUGCUUAUGGUGGUUGUGGUGGACCCAUUGGUGUUUUUUCUUCCUGCGUUGCUUUCUUGAGGAUCAGUUGGACGUGUAGACCGCGAACGUUCCAUAGUAGCACGCUUUGGUAUUAGAGACAUGUUCUAGAGAAGCUUACAUGUCCCCUGAUCAGUACUCCAGUGACAGGUACGCUGCCUUCGCAGAUCAGUUUGUUUAUGGUGAUAGAUACAGUCGUGGACCACAUCCUCCAACGAGUUAAUACAGAGCCCCAUCUUUUGACAGAGACGUAGUCCUAAGUGCAGGAAGUGACAGCUACUAUUGUGAUAGAGUUGGUGAGCCCAUAUGUGGAGGAGAUGAGGGAAGAGGAUAUAGAAGCCGAGCCAGUGGUCCUUAUGAUAGGCCGAGCCUAAGUGGUGGUCAUUAUCCAUUGUCCUCUACUUUUAACAUUACUAAGGCAUGAACGAAAUGAUAUUGAUUGUUUGCUUGGUUAAGGUUUAGUUACUCUUAUGUGGUAACUGUUAAGGUUUAAUACUAUUUAAAUAAAUUCAAUGGUUCAUGUGAUUAA
This is a long non-coding RNA of Raphanus sativus (radish), 1965 nucleotides long. RefSeq lists it as uncharacterized. The record is from RefSeq and is a predicted model, not a curated record. NCBI's taxonomy places the organism in Eukaryota, Viridiplantae, Streptophyta, Magnoliopsida, Brassicales, Brassicaceae. The transcript is spliced from 4 exons.